GAUGAACGCUGGCGGCGUGCCUAAUACAUGCAAGUCGAGCGAACGGACGAGAAGCUUGCUUCUCUGAUGUUAGCGGCGGACGGGUGAGUAACACGUGGAUAACCUACCUAUAAGACAGGGAUAACUUCGGGAAACCGGAGCUAAUACCGGAUGAUAUUUUGAACCGCAUGGUUCAAAAGUGAAAGACGGUCUGGAUGUCCCUUAUAGAUGGAUCCGCGCUGCAUUAGCUAGUUGGUAAGGUAACGGCUUAGCAAGGCAACGAUGCAUAGCCGACCUGAGAGGGUGAUCGGCCACACUGGAACUGAGACACGGUCCAGACUCCUACGGGAGGCAGCAGUAGGGAAUCUUCCGCAAUGGGCGAAAGCCUGCCGGAGCAACGCCGCGUGAGUGAUGAAGGUCUUCGGAUCGUAAAACGCUGUUAUUAGGGAAGAACAUAUGUGUAAGUAACUGUGCACAUCGUGACGGUACCUAAUCAGAAAGCCACGGCUAACUACGUG
This 497-nucleotide ribosomal RNA is filed under the name uncultured bacterium. RNAcentral describes it as "partial 16S ribosomal RNA". It matches the Rfam family "Bacterial small subunit ribosomal RNA", at positions 28 to 507 of the family's 1533-position model. The record is from RNAcentral.